Molecule: long non-coding RNA, 146 nt
Organism: Homo sapiens (human)
Lineage: Eukaryota; Metazoa; Chordata; Mammalia; Primates; Hominidae
Gene: EPHA5-AS1
Product: EPHA5 antisense RNA 1
Source: Ensembl
GUAAGUGUGAGUUGCUUCGACGAAGUCACACACCCACGGAGGGAAGUAAUCUGGAGGCUGCCUUGCAAGUCUCAAGGUGACAAUAGUCCUCAGGCAGACAAGAAGGAAUAAGGGUUUGAGAUGAAUGGCUACAGCUGAGAGUAUGC